UUUAUGGAGAGUUUGAUCCUGGCUCAGGAUGAACGCUGGCGGCGUGCCUAAUACAUGCAAGUCGAGCGAACAGACGAGGAGCUUGCUCCUCUGACGUUAGCGGCGGACGGGUGAGUAACACGUGGAUAACCUACCUAUAAGACUGGGAUAACUUCGGGAAACCGGAGCUAAUACCGGAUAAUAUAUUGAACCGCAUGGUUCAAUAGUGAAAGACGGUUUUGCUGUCACUUAUAGAUGGAUCCGCGCCGCAUUAGCUAGUUGGUAAGGUAACGGCUUACCAAGGCAACGAUGCGUAGCCGACCUGAGAGGGUGAUCGGCCACACUGGAACUGAGACACGGUCCAGACUCCUACGGGAGGCAGCAGUAGGGAAUCUUCCGCAAUGGGCGAAAGCCUGACGGAGCAACGCCGCGUGAGUGAUGAAGGUCUUCGGAUCGUAAAACUCUGUUAUUAGGGAAGAACAAAUGUGUAAGUAACUAUGCAC
Molecule: ribosomal RNA, 482 nt
Filed under: Staphylococcus epidermidis
Lineage: Bacteria; Bacillati; Bacillota; Bacilli; Caryophanales; Staphylococcaceae
Also listed under: 2 other names
Description: bacterial SSU rRNA
Rfam family: Bacterial small subunit ribosomal RNA
Source: RNAcentral